GACGAACGCUGGCGGCGUGCUUAACGCAUGCAAGUCGAACGCUGAAGCUUGGUGCUUGCACUGGGUGGAUGAGUGGCGAACGGGUGAGUAAUACGUGAGUAACCUGCCCUUGACUCUGGGAUAAGCCUGGGAAACUGGGUCUAAUACUGGAUAUGACAUGCCACUGCAUGGUGGUGUGUGGAAAGGGUUUUACUGGUUUUGGAUGGGCUCACGGCCUAUCAGCUUGUUGGUGGGGUAAUGGCCUACCAAGGCGACGACGGGUAGCCGGCCUGAGAGGGUGACCGGCCACACUGGGACUGAGACACGGCCCAGACUCCUACGGGAGGCAGCAGUGGGGAAUAUUGCACAAUGGGCGGAAGCCUGAUGCAGCGACGCCGCGUGAGGGAUGACGGCCUUCGGGUUGUAAACCUCUUUCAGCACGGAAGAAGCGAGAGUGACGGUACGUGCAGAAGAAGCGCCGGCUAACUACGUG
This 472-nucleotide ribosomal RNA is filed under the name uncultured bacterium. Its description in RNAcentral is "partial 16S ribosomal RNA". It matches the Rfam family "Bacterial small subunit ribosomal RNA", at positions 28 to 507 of the family's 1533-position model. The record is from RNAcentral.